This 479-nucleotide long non-coding RNA is filed under the name Hordeum vulgare. Its description in RNAcentral is "long non-coding RNA (HVUL_LNC005965)". Lineage: Eukaryota; Viridiplantae; Streptophyta; Magnoliopsida; Poales; Poaceae. The record is from RNAcentral.
CUCUCCAAGCAGGUAUAUACUUACAUGUCAAUCUUCUCGUUCCUCUGCGGUUAACCGUGCGGGCGUCGUGGUUCGGGGAAGAAUCGAUGUAACAAGAUUAUGAUUGUGAUUAUGAAUCCCCUGCAAGGUUAGGGAUAAGAUCACCUGCAAGAUUGUGAUUCCCCUGCAUCAGCUACCGAAUCGGCAACAGUCAUGAUGGUUAACUCGGUCUGAAAACACUCACAGGAUUGCGAAGCCUUCAAGAUAAUCCAUUAGAGCUGUUUAUAUGAAACCUGAGUGCAAGGAUGUGCAACUCGCUCGGUCGAUGCCUGCAGCUUAGGAUAGAUUGCUCGAACCCUUGUACUAUGACCGUUUAGUUUUGUGCCGCUACACUUCCAGUAGCAGAGGCACGAAUGGUUGAUGACAAGGCCCAAAUAAGACUAACCUGGAGGUUGUGUACAGUUUCUGAAUAACAAUGUUGAAUUGGUUUCUACUACUCC